AGGACGAACGCUGGCGGCGUGCCUAACACAUGCAAGUCGAGCGAGGAGAUUCCUUCGGGAUGAUCCUAGCGGCGGACGGGUGAGUAACACGUGGGCAACCUGCCUCAUAGAGAGGAAUAGCCUUCCGAAAGGGAGAUUAAUACCUCAUAACAUUGCAGUUUCGCAUGGAACAGCAAUUAAAGGAGUAAUCCGCUAUGAGAUGGGCCCGCGGCGCAUUAGCUAGUUGGUGAGGUAACGGCUCACCAAGGCGACGAUGCGUAGCCGACCUGAGAGGGUGAUCGGCCACAUUGGGACUGAGACACGGCCCAGACUCCUACGGGAGGCAGCAGUGGGGAAUAUUGCACAAUGGGGGAAACCCUGAUGCAAGCAACGCCGCGUGAGUGAUGACGGCCUUCGGGUUGUAAAGCUCUGUCUUCAGGGACGAUAAUGACGGUACCUGAGGAGGAAGCCACGGCUAACUACGUGCCAGCCGCAGC
RNAcentral lists this ribosomal RNA (476 nucleotides) under uncultured bacterium. RNAcentral's name for it is "bacterial SSU rRNA". It matches the Rfam family "Bacterial small subunit ribosomal RNA", at positions 26 to 518 of the family's 1533-position model. The record is from RNAcentral.